UACGAAGGGGGCUAGCGUUGCUCGGAAUUGCUGGGCGUAAAGCGCACGUAGGCGGCUUUCUAAGUCGGGGGUGAAAUCCUGGAGCUCAACUCCAGAACUGCCUUCGAUACUGGAGAGCUCGAGUCCGGGAGAGGUGAGUGGAACUGCGAGUGUAGAGGUGAAAUUCGUAGAUAUUCGCAAGAACACCAGUGGCGAAGGCGGCUCACUGGCCCGGUACUGACGCUGAGGUGCGAAAGCGUGGGGAGCAAACAGG
Molecule: ribosomal RNA, 253 nt
Filed under: uncultured bacterium
Lineage: Bacteria
Description: partial 16S ribosomal RNA
Rfam family: Bacterial small subunit ribosomal RNA
Source: RNAcentral